GACGAACGCUGGCGGCGUGCUUAACACAUGCAAGUCGAACGGUGAAGCGCCUUCCUUUUUGGUGGGUGUGGAUGAGUGGCGAACGGGUGAGUAACACGUGAGUAACCUGCCCCCUUCUUCUGGAUAACCGCAUGAAAGUGUGGCUAAUACGGGAUAUUCUGGGCCUGUCGCAUGAUGGGUCUGGGAAAGAUAUUGUUUCGGUGGGGGAUGGGCUCGCGGCCUAUCAGCUUGUUGGUGGGGUGAUGGCCUACCAAGGCGGUGACGGGUAGCCGGCCUGAGAGGGUGGACGGUCACACUGGGACUGAGACACGGCCCAGACUCCUACGGGAGGCAGCAGUGGGGAAUAUUGCACAAUGGGCGCAAGCCUGAUGCAGCGACGCCGCGUGAGGGAUGGAGGCCUUCGGGUUGUGAACCUCUUUCGCCAGUGAAGCAGGCCUGCCUCGUUUGUGGGUGGGUUGACGGUAGCUGGAUAAGAAGCGCCGGCUAACUACGUG
Molecule: ribosomal RNA, 494 nt
Filed under: uncultured bacterium
Lineage: Bacteria
Description: partial 16S ribosomal RNA
Rfam family: Bacterial small subunit ribosomal RNA
Source: RNAcentral